RNAcentral lists this long non-coding RNA (383 nucleotides) under Ictidomys tridecemlineatus (thirteen-lined ground squirrel). Its description in RNAcentral is "lncRNA (ENSSTOG00000029951.1)". The record is from RNAcentral. Lineage: Eukaryota; Metazoa; Chordata; Mammalia; Rodentia; Sciuridae.
AGGCCCCAUUUACUAACAAGAGAUUUAUGUUGUUUGUAGAGGAUUUGCUGUCCUCAGAGCAUCACCCCGGCUGCAGGUGCAUGGAGUGGAAGAUGGAGCAGAUGAAGGGCAGGCGUGCUCUGCCCUCCCAGGCUCUGGCUACCGCCACGGGCCUCUGCUGGGCCCGUCUCUAGGAGCCGUGGACUCGUGGUGCACUUGGAGUUUUCUUUGCACUUCUGUCCCCUGUCUGGGCUCUGAUGUCUCUGCAGCCUCCCUGGGCCUGUGCCCUCUUCGGGUCCCCUUCUGCACUGGCUGCUCCAUCAACAUUUCCCACUCCUUAAUACACCACGCCUGGCCACUGCUGAUGGCGCCUGUCGGGGGGCCUUUCUGUUGAUGGCGCUGUA